RNAcentral lists this ribosomal RNA (253 nucleotides) under uncultured bacterium. Its description in RNAcentral is "partial 16S ribosomal RNA". It matches the Rfam family "Bacterial small subunit ribosomal RNA", at positions 524 to 776 of the family's 1533-position model. The record is from RNAcentral.
UACGUAGGGUGCAAGCGUUAAUCGGAAUUACUGGGCGUAAAGCGUGCGCAGGCGGUUUUGUAAGACUGUCGUGAAAUCCCCGGGCUUAACCUGGGAAUGGCGAUGGUGACUGCAAGGCUAGAGUUUGGCAGAGGGGGGUAGAAUUCCACGUGUAGCAGUGAAAUGCGCAGAUAUGUGGAGGAACACCGAUGGCGAAGGCAGCCCCCUGGGUCAAAACUGACGCUCACGCACGAAAGCGUGGGGAGCAAACAGG